This is a long non-coding RNA of Hermetia illucens (black soldier fly), 552 nucleotides long. RefSeq lists it as uncharacterized. The transcript is spliced from 3 exons. NCBI's taxonomy places the organism in Eukaryota, Metazoa, Arthropoda, Insecta, Diptera, Stratiomyidae. The record is from RefSeq and is a predicted model, not a curated record.
UAUGCACUGGCGCUCUUCUAAACUAUUAUUAGAAUGUCAGGAGAGAAGAUACUUUAUUUUCUCGGAAAAAAUAUGAUUCACUUGUGUAGAAAAUAAAACAAAUGAGAGUGGCAGACAAAUUUGCUAAACGUCAAAUAAUUUUCGAAGAACAAUAAGCUGAAAAGAAUUUCAUAGCGGUGGAAAAUCUCAGGUGAACUAAGUGAGGGAAAAAAUAUUCCAACGAAAUGUCGCUUACGCAACUGGAAUGUAACGAUCCGUUCAAUAAAUAACUCUAUCACCAAAGUAACAUAUGAAAGCAAAAUAAAUGAAACGAAUAUUGACCGCUGUAAUAUCGACCGAUUUUCUACGUAAACAUAAAGGCCUUGGAAAGCAUGGAUCCGAGGUUUGUAAAAAGCACGUUCAGCAAGUCAAGGGUAAUUGGAGAACUUCCUGCCGUGAUACACAUACUUAAAAUUUAAAUGUCUCCAAUCAAAAUAAAGCAAUGCUAUCAAAAUGAAAAAUUAACAUGGAUACGUUUUCGACUAGCAAAUAUUAUUCUAUUCAUUCCUCUCA